UAGGGAAUCUUCCGCAAUGGACGAAAGUCUGACGGAGCAACGCCGCGUGAGCGAAGAAGGCCUUCGGGUCGUAAAGCUCUGUUGUCAGGGAAGAACAAGUAUCGGAGUAACUGCCGGUACCUUGACGGUACCUGACGAGAAAGCCACGGCUAACUACGUGCCAGCAGCCGCGGUAAUACGUAGGUGGCAAGCGUUGUCCGGAAUUAUUGGGCGUAAAGCGCGCGCAGGCGGUCCUUUAAGUCUGAUGUGAAAGCCCCCGGCUCAACCGGGGAGGGCCAUUGGAAACUGGGGGACUUGAGUGCAGGAGAGGGAAGUGGAAUUCCACGUGUAGCGGUGAAAUGCGUAGAGAUGUGGAGGAACACCAGUGGCGAAGGCGGCUUCCUGGCCUGUAACUGACGCUGAGGCGCGAAAGCGUGGGGAGCAAACA
RNAcentral lists this ribosomal RNA (427 nucleotides) under uncultured Bacillus sp. Its description in RNAcentral is "bacterial SSU rRNA". It matches the Rfam family "Bacterial small subunit ribosomal RNA", at positions 355 to 774 of the family's 1533-position model. The record is from RNAcentral. Lineage: Bacteria; Bacillati; Bacillota; Bacilli; Caryophanales; Bacillaceae.